This 874-nucleotide ribosomal RNA is filed under the name uncultured Acidobacteriota bacterium. Its description in RNAcentral is "bacterial SSU rRNA". It matches the Rfam family "Bacterial small subunit ribosomal RNA", at positions 8 to 893 of the family's 1533-position model. The record is from RNAcentral. Lineage: Bacteria; Pseudomonadati; Acidobacteriota.
AGGGUUUGAUCCUGGCUCAGAAUCAACGCUGGCGGCGUGCCUCAGACAUGCAAGUCGAACGAUUAAGACUUCCUUCGGGAAGUGCAUAAAGUGGCGCACGGGUGAGUAACACGUAAGUAAUCUACCCUCGAGUGGGGAAUAACGUUCGGAAACGGACGCUAAUACCGCAUAAUGCAGCGGCAUCGCAAGAUGACAGUUGUUAAAGGAGUAAUUCGCUUGAGGAGGAGCUUGCGGCAGAUUAGCUAGUUGGUAAGGUAACGGCUUACCAAGGCUACGAUCUGUAUCCGGUCUAAGAGGACGGUCGGACACACUGACACUGAAUAACGGGUCAGACUCCUACGGGAGGCAGCAGUCGGGAAUUUUGGGCAAUGGGCGAAAGCCUGACCCAGCAACGCCGCGUGAAGGAUGAAGUAUUUCGGUAUGUAAACUUCGAAAGAAUGGGAAGAAUAAAUGACGGUACCAUUUAUAAGCUCCGGCUAACUACGUGCCAGCAGCCGCGGUAAUACGUAGGGAGCAAGCGUUGUUCGGAUUUACUGGGCGUAAAGGGCGCGUAGGCGGCGCGGUAAGUCACUUGUGAAAUCUCUGAGCUUAACUCAGAACGGCCAAGUGAUACUGCAGUGCUAGAGUGCAGAAGGGGCAAUCGGAAUUCUUGGUGUAGCGGUGAAAUGCGUAGAUAUCAAGAGGAACACCUGAGGUGAAGACGGGUUGCUGGGCUGACACUGACGCUGAGGCGCGAAAGCCAGGGGAGCAAACGGGAUUAGAUACCCCGGUAGUCCUGGCCCUAAACGAUGAAUACUUGGUGUCUGGAGUUUCAAGACUCCGGGUGCCGUCGCUAACGUUUUAAGUAUUCCGCCUGGGGAGUACGCUCGCAAGA